RNAcentral lists this ribosomal RNA (502 nucleotides) under uncultured bacterium. RNAcentral describes it as "bacterial SSU rRNA". It matches the Rfam family "Bacterial small subunit ribosomal RNA", at positions 8 to 507 of the family's 1533-position model. The record is from RNAcentral.
AGAGUUUGAUCAUGGCUCAGAUUGAACGCUGGCGGAAUGCUUUACACAUGCAAGUCGAACGGCAGCACGGGGCAACCUGGUGGCGAGUGGCGAACGGGUGAGUAAUACAUCGGAACGUGCCCAAUCGUGGGGGAUAACGUAGCGAAAGUUACGCUAAUACCGCAUACGAUCUACGGAUGAAAGCGGGGGAUCGCAAGACCUCGCGCGAGUGGAGCGGCCGAUGUCAGAUUAGGUAGUUGGUGGGGUAAAGGCUCACCAAGCCAACGAUCUGUAGCUGGUCUGAGAGGACGACCAGCCACACUGGAACUGAGACACGGUCCAGACUCCUACGGGAGGCAGCAGUGGGGAAUUUUGGACAAUGGGCGCAAGCCUGAUCCAGCCUUUCCGCGUGCAGGAUGAAGGCCUUCGGGUUGUAAACUGCUUUUGUACGGAACGAAACGGCGAGCUCUAAUACAGUUUGCUAAUGACGGUACCGUAAGAAUAAGCACCGGCUAACUACGUG